This is a long non-coding RNA of Carassius carassius (crucian carp), 890 nucleotides long. RefSeq lists it as uncharacterized. The transcript is spliced from 4 exons. Lineage: Eukaryota; Metazoa; Chordata; Actinopteri; Cypriniformes; Cyprinidae. The record is from RefSeq and is a predicted model, not a curated record.
CAUCUCUCCUCCCUCUUCCUGGAUACCGGAGUCCUUUCGGCUCAUUGAUGGGGAAGGGAUAUUAUCGCCCGCUCACCAGCGGUGAGUUAAAUGUUCAGCAUUGGUAACAAGAGGUGGAAAUGUCAGGGUAGCAUUAAGAACAUUCAGAUGUCCACUUCCAUUGGCUCGCAGUAUGUCAGUAAUGCAGCUGGAAUAAGAGGUCACACACCUUGGAUUCCUUCUUCUUGCGAGCCAACAUUGGUCUUUGGAGGAAAACGAUCUGCUUGGUGGCCAAACUUCCAUCACUGGAUAAGAGAGACGAAGCAUUUUAGAUUGUGAACUAGGUUUCAAGGCUUUCCAACUGCACGGCGGGAUGUGAAAACUCCCUGACAAACCUGCACCUCAUCUGAGCUCUGAGCAUUUCACACUGCUGACCAACGCCAUUAUGUUUUAUAGAUGUUCACCCAGAGCAUUAGAGGGACUUGUGCAGGGAAUGACUAUAUUUAAGUCAUAAGGACGCAGCGCUGUGCAAAAGACUCCUGGCAGCUGUCAUUUUGUGGCUGAAUGAGAGAAAUUGGUGUAGCGUGAGGCCACCGAUGGCGACAGUAGCAUACUUCCACUGCUGACGAAGUCACUUCCACAUCCAGAUGGAGACUCCCAACAUGCAUCAUUCACAUGGCACAGCAAUCUCCAUGCACAAUGCCACAGUUUUUGCAAAAAAAAAGGCUCCCUAGCUAAUGUUGAGAAUGAGGUUUGCCAUCUGGUUACUGGCGGAAAAACAAGGGUGAACAAAGCCUAAUCUAGCACCCGCUGUGUGGGUUUUUGUAAAUGCCAAGUCUGCCUAAUCCCAUACGUCAAAACACUGUGACAAUGCUUUUCUGCAGACAAGAAUAACAAAAUCAGGCAAGUGA